CUCCGAAGUUUCCCUCAGGAUAGCUGGUGCAUUUUAAUAUUAUAUAAAAUAAUCUUAUCUGGUAAAGCGAAUGAUUAGAGGCCUUAGGGUCGAAACGACCUUAACCUAUUCUCAAACUUUAAAUGGGUAAGAACCUCACCUUUCUUGAUCUGAAGGUUGUGGUUAUGAUAUAAUGUGCCCAGUGGGCCACUUUUGGUAAGCAGAACUGGCGCUGUGGGAUGAACCAAACGUAAUGUUACGGUGCCUAAAUUAACAACUCAUACAGAUACCAUGAAAGGCGUUGGUUGCUUAAAACAGCAGGACGGUGGACAUGGAAGUCGUAAUCCGCUAAGGAGUGUGUAACAACUCACCUGCCGAAGCAACUAGCCCUUAAAAUGGAUGGCGCUUAAGUUGUAUACCUAUACAUUACCGCUAAAGUAUAUGAUUUUGUAAAUUUAAUACUAUUGUGUAUUAUUAUUUAUUAAAUUUUGAAACUUUAGUGAGUAGGAGGGUACAAUGGUGUGCAUAGAAGUGUUUGGCGUAAGCCUGCAUGGAGCCGCCAUUGGUACAGAUCUUGGUGGUAGUAGCAAAUAAUCGAAUGAGACCUUGGAGGACUGAAGUGGAGAAGGGUUUCGUGUGAACAGUGGUUGAUCACGAGUUAGUCGGUCCUAAGUUCAAGGCGAAAGCCGAAAAUUUUCAAGUUUCAAUGCA
This 690-nucleotide ribosomal RNA is filed under the name Rhagoletis striatella. RNAcentral describes it as "partial 28S ribosomal RNA". It matches the Rfam family "Eukaryotic large subunit ribosomal RNA", at positions 959 to 1589 of the family's 3401-position model. The record is from RNAcentral. Lineage: Eukaryota; Metazoa; Arthropoda; Insecta; Diptera; Tephritidae.